Molecule: long non-coding RNA, 626 nt
Filed under: Mus caroli (Ryukyu mouse)
Lineage: Eukaryota; Metazoa; Chordata; Mammalia; Rodentia; Muridae
Description: RIKEN cDNA 1600010M07 gene (MGP_CAROLIEiJ_G0006600.1)
Source: RNAcentral
GGUCUCCAACUCAUAGUGAUCCUCCUGCCUUAGUCCACCAAGUGCUGGAGUUCUAGGCAUGAGCCAUUGUGCCUGGUUAAGUACACCAUGUUAUAAAGCAGUUGUUCUCAACUGUCCUAAUGCUUUGGACUUUAAAAACAAUUCCUCAUGUUGUAGUGACACCCAACCACAACCCCCCACCCCAGACAGUGUUUAUUUGUGUGGCCCUGGACGUCCUGGAAUUGCAUUCUGUAGACCAGCUUCAAACUCAAAGAUCUGCUGCCUGCCUCUGCCUCCCAAGUGAUAGGACUAAAGGAUUUAUACAGAAGCAGUCUUCCAAAUUCUGAAACCUGAUGCCCAUCACAUACUUUGGGCUGAGAAAAGAAAAUCAAACAUUUGUUUGAUGUAGCCUCCCUCAGCCUUGAAGCAGGCUGAUCCAGACUUUGACCUUGCUGCCACUAAGAAGGAGAUUACCUAGGGUAGAGCCUUCUGACCUUGAUGGCUCUAUUUGCUCUUCUCCAAGACUCUGCUUUCCCACUGAAAGGUCCUUGAGAUGGUCCACAGACACACCCUGUAGAUCGGCUACUGACUGGUCUUCCCCCUUAUAAGCACACUCUCUUAAUAAACUCGGGGGCCUAGAACAGAAA